CAGCAGCCGCGGGAAUACGAAGGGUGCAAGCGUUAAUCGGAAUUACUGGGCGUAAAGCGUGCGUAGGUGGUGGUUUAAGUCCGUUGUGAAAGCCCUGGGCUCAACCUGGGAAUUGCAGUGGAUACUGGGUCACUAGAGUGUGGUAGAGGAUAGUGGAAUUUCCGGUGUAGCAGUGAAAUGCGUAGAGAUCGGGAGGAACAUCAGUGGCGAAGGCGGCCAUCUGGGACAACACUGACGCUGAGGCACGAAAGCGUGGGGAGCAAACAGGAUUAGAUACCCCAGUAGUCCCUGUCUCUUAUAA
This 301-nucleotide ribosomal RNA is filed under the name uncultured bacterium. RNAcentral describes it as "partial 16S ribosomal RNA". It matches the Rfam family "Bacterial small subunit ribosomal RNA", at positions 509 to 809 of the family's 1533-position model. The record is from RNAcentral.